CCUACGGGGGGCUGCAGUGGGGAAUAUUGGACAAUGGGGGGAACCCUGAUCCAGCCAUGCCGCGUGUGUGAAGAAGGUCUUAGGAUUGUAAAGCACUUUAAGUUGGGAGGAAGGGCAGUUAACUAAUAUUUGACUGUUUUGACGUUACCGACAGAAUAAGCACCGGCUAACUUCGUGCCAGCAGCCGCGGUAAUACGAAGGGUGCAAGCGUUAAUCGGAAUUACUGGGCGUAAAGCGCGCGUAGGUGGUUCGUUAAGUUAGGAGUGAAAGCCCCGGGCUCAACCUGGGAAUUGCUUCUAAAACUGGCGGGCUAGAGUAUGGUAGAGGGUGGUGGAAUUUCCUGUGUAGCGGUGAAAUGCGUAGAUAUAGGAAGGAACAUCAGUGGCGAAGGCGACCACCUGGACUGAUACUGACACUGAGGUGCGAAAGCGUGGGGAGCAAACAGGAUUAGAUACCCCUGUAGUC
This 465-nucleotide ribosomal RNA is filed under the name uncultured Pseudomonas sp. Its description in RNAcentral is "bacterial SSU rRNA". It matches the Rfam family "Bacterial small subunit ribosomal RNA", at positions 338 to 795 of the family's 1533-position model. Lineage: Bacteria; Pseudomonadati; Pseudomonadota; Gammaproteobacteria; Pseudomonadales; Pseudomonadaceae. The record is from RNAcentral.